RNAcentral lists this ribosomal RNA (496 nucleotides) under uncultured bacterium. RNAcentral's name for it is "partial 16S ribosomal RNA". It matches the Rfam family "Bacterial small subunit ribosomal RNA", at positions 29 to 507 of the family's 1533-position model. The record is from RNAcentral.
AUGAACGCUGGCGGCGUGCCUAAUACAUGCAAGUCGAGCGAACGGACGAGAAGCUUGCUUCUCUGAUGUUAGCGGCGGACGGGUGAGUAACACGUGGAUAACUUACCUAUAAGACUGGGAUAACUUCGGGAAACCGGAGCUAAUACCGGAUAAUAUUUUGAACCGCAUGGUUCAAAAGUGAAAGACGGUCUUGCUGUCACUUAUAGAUGGAUCCGCGCUGCAUUAGCUAGUUGGUAAGGUAACGGCUUACCAAGGCAACGAUGCAUAGCCGACCUGAGAGGGUGAUCGGCCACACUGGAACUGAGACACGGUCCAGACUCCUACGGGAGGCAGCAGUAGGGAAUCUUCCGCAAUGGGCGAAAGCCUGACGGAGCAACGCCGCGUGAGUGAUGAAGGUCUUCGGAUCGUAAAACUCUGUUAUUAGGGAAGAACAUAUGUGUAAGUAACUGUGCACAUCUUGACGGUACCUAAUCAGAAAGCCACGGCUAACUACGUG